CGUCGUAUAAGAAAUGCUCCAAGCUAAGCUCUCAAUCAACUACACUCGUCAGUCGCCACCGAUAUGAAUUUCUUGUGCUUUUUCCCCUUCACAAAGAAGCCGGAUUCGAGCAAGGGGGCGGAGGCAUCGCCAUCGAUGGAAGAGGGGGAGGCCUGCGACGACUGCGAGUGCGAGAUCGCGCGGUUGCCGGAGGAGCUCCUCUCCGCCGCGAUCUCCCUCACCGCGCCGCGGGACGCCUUCCGCGCCGCCGCCGUCUCCCGGGCCUUCCGCGCCGCCGCCGACUCCGACGCCGUCUGGGCUAGCUUCCUGCCGCGUGAUCUCCCCGAUCUCGCCGACGGCGAGCUCUCCCCCGCGCCGCCUUCCAAGAAGGACCUCUUCCUCCGCCUCUCCGCCGGCCACUACCACCUCCUGCCAGACAGGCUCAAGGGCAUGUGAUUGGACAGGGAGACCGGGGCCAAGUGCUAUGUGCUCUCGGCUAGAGCGCUGGUCAUUAUCUGGACCUGUACACCAAGAUACUGGCGCUGGAUCCCUCUCACCGACUCCAGAUUCACAGAAGCUGCUGAGCUCUUGAGUGUAUGCUGGUUGGAAAUCCUUGGCAAUAUAGACAGCAGGAUGCUCUCCCCGAACUCAACUUAUGCUGCAGUUUUGGUGUUCAAGAUAGCUGAGGAGUUCUACCAGCUGGAUACUAUAGAUGCAACAGUCAACCUCGGAGGCUCGAAAUCAAGUCGCGAGGUUGCUCUCACUCGAUCCCGUCGUCGUCCUGAAGAAGAGAUCAGUGCAGUACUGUUCCCUCGGACAAGAGCUGACGGCUGGAUGGAGGUGGAGCUAGGCGAGUUCUUCAACGAGGAAGGUGAAGAUGGAAACGUGAACAUCAGAAUCUUUGGUAAAGGACCCAAUUGGAAGAAAGGUCUUAUUGUGCUGGGCAUUGAGAUUAGAAUUAAGAAAUCUGGCAGAUGAUCGAGCUUCUAGGAUCAAAGAUGCGUCUUGGGAGUACUGAAAUGUAUAAGAUUUCCGAUGCCUGAAGCUUUGGUGUUUUAGUGGCAUUUGCUUUUGCUGCUGCUAGUGAUGGGCAAAACUAGAGGGUGUUUCCUCUUCUUGUGGGUAAUCUGACGGACCUUUUUCUCAAUUGCUGGGGACAAACUGAACUUCUGUAGCCGACAUCUUGGUUCAGUGCUGGACGAUUGUCUACAUCUGGUUUGGAAGAUGCAACUAGAGACAGCUAUAUAUUGCCAUUUUAAAUGUUGAGUAAAUUGCAUUAACGGUCUCUACACUUAUUAUGCUA
Oryza sativa Japonica Group (Japanese rice) is the source of this 1282-nucleotide RNA transcript. It is a transcript of the gene named putative F-box protein PP2-B12, with no coding region annotated. The record is from RefSeq and is a predicted model, not a curated record. NCBI's taxonomy places the organism in Eukaryota, Viridiplantae, Streptophyta, Magnoliopsida, Poales, Poaceae.